Molecule: long non-coding RNA, 3602 nt
Filed under: Hordeum vulgare
Lineage: Eukaryota; Viridiplantae; Streptophyta; Magnoliopsida; Poales; Poaceae
Description: long non-coding RNA (HVUL_LNC021179)
Source: RNAcentral
CUAGCCGUGACCCUCGCUGACCCGCGUCGGAUUUGAAGGCAUCUCUGUAGGAGGAGGUAGUGGAUGACAGUGUGCUCCCAGCUCCCCUAGUGCAGCAUCGACAGCAAGAAUAAGACAAUCAGGAAGAUGGCAGCAGUAGUUCCUUAGAGUAGUACAGGUACGUACAACUGAUUCACGUUCUUCAUGUUUCCAUCGAAUAUUCUCUCCUCUGACAUGUAUCUCUCUCUUCUGCUCCUCAAUAUGCACUCUUAUGCAGUCGUUCUACUAUCACCGUAAGGCAGCUGAGUCGUCAUGCACACACCAAAUGCACAACUGCAGAGCAGUAUGGUAUGAUGGAUCGCCCACCGGGUUCAGGUACUUGCUGAGAAAACCCACUCUAAAUACCGAUAAAGCACUGCAGAGGCCGGUCUGCACGCAGCUCUGAAUCCAGCCCGCCGAACCAGCUUUAGGAUUUGUGCCGUUAGGCGUAUUGCAUUUUCCACCGCCACGUGAAAAGCCGUUUACCACCAUAUUUUCUGACAAGGCCCAUGCGGGAGGCACAUGUGUAGAACCUGGGCGAAGCAUAAUCACGUAUGUUAAUUAGCACAUAAUACAGUAGUUUGUUCCAAAAAUAAUAUCUAAUUAGCACCUUAACCUUUUGUUCUUUAUGAAAAGAGUCACGUAUGUUAAUUGUUUGCUAAAAAAGCAACAGCUAAUUGCACAAUAAUUUGAUGAAUUUGAUAUAUAAACAAAUAUUUACCAAGAUGAUAGCAAAAAAGCAAACAUAAUACCAUCAGUAUUUUUCUUCAACAAAACAAACAUGUGUACCAGUAGUGUUCCUGCACAUUUUAUUUCGUUAGACAAGAAAACAAUUUAAUGGAGAGCGUAUAGUAUAUUACUUACAAAGAAAUUAGGUCAUACAUGUUCCUAGCAUGGCUUGUGUACAUCUAUUUUAUUUACUUUUGUUUUGCGGGGCAUCUAUUUUCUUUACUGACUCUCUUAGAAUGAUGCGAAUACACGUACUGAUUAUUGAUAUGUUGCAAUCUAGACAAAUUAUAAUAAUGUCAUUUGUAGUAUGUAUACAUUUUUCUAGGAUCACAUGGAUACGUAUAACAUUAUACAAUAUGAUAAUUAUUUGUCUUCAUAUGCUAGAUACAACAUAUACAUAUGGGUCGAAUAUGAUUUUUUAUUAAUAAGUAUGUGGGAAAUAUCUUUAAACACUCCUUUUUAACAAGUAAUUGCCAUAAUUAAAAUACUUUAUGUUGUCAAAUAUAUCCUUCAUGGUUCAAACCAAAUAUUUCUCUUACCUCUUAGGGAGAAAUAGGGGUCAUCUUAAAUGAACUUUUUGUUAAAAGAGGCACAAUUAUUUACUACCUCCAUCUAGGUUUAUUAGUCUCCGUUGUAUUUAUUUCAAGUUUUGAUUAGUAAAUAUUAAUGUAUGUCAUAAAAUAUUAUAUUGUUGAAUUUGUAUUUAGAUGGAAAAUUUAAAUUCUAAUGAUAUUAUUGAUGCUACAUAUAACAAAUAUUUUAUUGCUUAAUGUUAUUUGUCAAAACAUGACCCAAAAUGCGAGGGGCUAGUAAUUCCAGAAGGAAGUAGUAAUUAUUUGCUCCAGAACAGUAGCUAAUUGCACACUAAUUUAAGGAUUGGUUUUAUAUAAACAGAGAAAUGCAUGCAAUGAUGAGGUGACCGAAUAGAAAAUUGAUACUUUUUGAUGCCAUGAACGGGUGAGCAAUAAGUUCAUCACAUAUUAAUUUCGAGCUGUCAAAUCAGUGAUUCAUCACGCUCAUUAAACAGCAGUUUCAUUGCAUUCACUCGAGCCUGACAAAUGGGCAACUCCCAUACGGUUGCACUAUUCACGCAUAUAUGUAUAUUGCCCCGUAUAAUUUAGAAAAGCCUGACACACUUAAUCACGAGGCCCAUAUCCACCAAGGGGAUAAUAAGCUGCCUGGCGCUCGGCCUCUGCGACCUAUUUGGCAGUAGCAGGUGAUCUCAUUUCUUUUCAACAGAGAGCCUCAUAGAUACUCUCUCAUUUAAACUGUAGCUCACAACACUCUUCCAUUCAGAUUGUAGCUCACCUUGUUGUCUCACAAAUACUUUUGCAUAUCCACAUGCUUGCACUUGCCCAUGCCCUUGCUUCCCUAGAAUUAAAUGGAGCACUGCUAUUUCGUGUUCCUGUGCUAACGAGUAGCUAGCUUACGAACAGUGCAGUCAAGAUCACAAGGACGCUCGUGGGAGUUUCGCUGAAAGAAUGGCCAAGGCUCAUAUGGUCUGUCAGUUUCAGGCUGCAAGCAUCUUGUAUACCACACCAUUGAAGAAGCAGCCAACAAACAGUCCACAACGCACUGCAUCUCCACUAAGUUGUCACGGAUAUUAGUAGAAGAAAACACCCAAUCUGCCCAAGUUUUUCCUCUUACUGUACAUUUUUUUCUUGUUGCACGUGCCAAGUAUUUUGGUUCCAGUCCAUGCAACCAUAGAUAGUUUGAGAAGUCUUGUAACUAGUUCAGUUGCCCCCCAAUCUGUUCAAUUGAGUGUCGAGUCUAUCCAUGCAUCAUCCCUUGUGCUUUCACAGUUAGUAACUUCCUAGCCCUGAUUAUUUCUAUGCUCAAACAUGUGAACCACAACGGCGCUGACUUCAAUCUGUUUUAGAUAUGCUUGAGCAGAGCCAACCUCAAUGUAACAUGCUGCUUGUACAAAGUGAAUACCUGAUGGGUGCGACAUUUUUAAAUCAAGUUGUCUAUUCACUAUGUGACACUGGUUGUACACUAAAAUUACAUUAGUUUGUCAUAUUUGCUAUUAAUGCAUUGUCCAACUCAUGAAUUUCUUGAAGUGGUGCAUGUAUAUAUUUGAUUGCUUAUUAAUUAGAAAAUGUCUUCAUCUAGUCUUGCUUCAUCAUCAAAUUUGUGAUACAUAUUUGGUGAACAUUUUUUCUCCUAUGUUAUUCAAUAAAAUCUAUAUGAUUUCUAUUAUUGACAUAAAAAAAUAUGACCUAAAUUACCUCUAGGUAUAUGCAGAAUUGCAGAUGCCAUCUACAAGUGAUUUCUAUUCUUGACAUAACAAGAUGAGCUAAAUUACUUCUACCUUUUCCAACUCAGACUUGUUAACUAUUGUUUCAUACUUUUGUUAGCAUAUCAGCAAGUCCGAAAUUGUGAAGCAUUUCUAUUCUUAUAUGUUCAUUCUUAUUUUUUGCACAGGUGAAGUGCGAAUCCAAGUCCGAAGCUGUGAAGCAUAUCACCAAAGAGUAGCAUAUUAUGUAUUGUAGUUGUAGGCAGUAGUAGGCUUAUUUGGGUUGUAGUAUAAUGUAAUGAUUGUAAUAGACUAAUGUAGUGUUGUUUUGGACGAAUUCCAUUUGCUCUUUGGAUUCUUCAAAAUAAUGAUUUUGUAUGUGAUUUGAAUACCUCGAAAAUGGUAACCUGGCAAAGGGGUUCAAGUUAUAAUGGUUGUUUGACAUAUUUUGAAAUUUCUGAUGCGUGGGACCAAUUUUGAGAUUAGGAUGACAUGUGGGACCAAUCUGAUUAGUGGGACCAGUACAAAAGUAAAAUGAAUAACAAAAUCAAUAGAAAGUAAAAGGUCACAAUCCAAAAUUAAAAAGGCUAAGAUGUUUUGGAUUAUUGGGCCAGGCCCA